AUAAAUACUUACGCGAAAUAAUUAAAACGAAAAUGUAAUAUUAGUGUAGAAAAUUUCCGAGCAUACAUUACUUAGCAGUUAUAUUGAAAAAACGGUCGUUUUACUUGCUAUCGCUCCCGGUUCCAUAUAUAUCAUCUGGCUAACGAGGAUAAUUCGUGCGUUUAAAUUAUGUCGCAAUCGUAUUUAGGAAAUUUGCCUAUUAUUGAUCAUAAGACUACCGAGUGGGCGAUAUUCAAGAGCCGGUUAACAAAGUUUUUUCUAGUGAACGGUAUAUCGGAAGCAGAAAAAAAAGUGCCAUCACGAUUACACAUUUAUCGGAUGAAAGUUAUCGGUUAGUGCGCAAUUUAGCUUAUCCGAAGGAGAUAGAUUGAUUGAUAGAUAGAGUUAUGUUAUGACGCGCUGGUUUUAUUACUCGACGAACAUUUCAAACAAAAGCAGUGUACUUUUGCGGAUAAGGCGAAGUUUUUCGGGGCGAUGAAGAGUGCAGACGAAACGUUGAGCGAAUGGGCGGCAAGAUUUCUUAGAGGUCUGGCAAGUUAUUGCGAUUUUGAUUCUGCCCUGGAGACGAACCUCUGCCCUGGAGACGAAAAUCGUUUCGUGCUCGGUCUGGGCUCAGGUUCCGUGCGCGAUAAACUAUUCGAGCAAAAGCCAUCGUCACUAAACUUUGCCAAGGCUUUAGAGUUGGCAGAACAGACGGAGAGUGCCCGAGAAGCGAAAUUAAUUACUAUUAAGGAGGAGCCAGUUUUUCGAGCGCAAACGGAGGGUGGAUAUCGCGGUGGCGCGAGAGGCGCGCGCGGUCGCGCUAGCACGAGCGGCAGCGGUCAACGGGAUCCACGUUCGACUCCCGAGCAGUGUACGGUUUGCGGAAUGAAAAAUCAUACGGAAAUCAAUUCAAUCAAUCAAUCGUUAUAAAUCGUAUAAGUGUCAAAAGUGCGGCAAAAAGGGUCACUUAAAGAAAGUUUGUGGUGAAAGUGCGCGAGUGCAUAACGUUUCCGUUGGCGAAUCGUCGUCGUUGAAUCGCAGCGAGGUAGAUGAUUGUGAGGAAUGUCAAAUGUUUAACUUAAGGUUCCAAAAUUAAUGGUGGAGGAUAUGAUCUGUAUGCUAUAGUUUUGUGAUCUACCUACAAGACCAGUAAUAAAACAGACGUCAAAGCAAA
Long non-coding RNA from Cydia pomonella (codling moth), 1156 nucleotides. RefSeq lists it as uncharacterized. The transcript has 2 exons. NCBI's taxonomy places the organism in Eukaryota, Metazoa, Arthropoda, Insecta, Lepidoptera, Tortricidae. The record is from RefSeq and is a predicted model, not a curated record.